UUAUAUAAUAAUUUUUUCUAUUUGUUUUAUAAUAUUUUUAUUAAAAUAGUUUUUUUUAGGUUUUUUUUAGUAAUUUAUUUUGAAAUACUUAUUUUUAAUUAUAGUAUAUUUUUAAUGUAAGUGAUUUUUUGUUAUUAUUUUAUAAGAAUUUUUAUUAUUUUACCUUUUGUGUCAGGGUCGAUUAAAUAAAUUUAUUUUAUUAUUUUUUCUCGAAUUAAGAUGAUUUAUUUUAAUAUGAUUUUUUAUGUUUCAUAAUGAUUUUGAAUUUUAAUAUGGUAGUGAUAUUCUAUUCGUAUCUUAAUAUAUCUAGUUUUCUAAGAUUAAAUUUAAUUUUAAAUUUAUUUUAAAUUAAAUUAGUUUAUAUUUAAUUUUUAAUUUAUUUGUAUGGUUUAAGGGUUAAGCUUUGAAUUUUAUUAUAAUUUUGUUUUUAAUUUUUUUUUCUUAGGCUUGAAAUAAGCCAUUGUUUUAAUUGCGUUUUAGUUUAAUUAUUUAAUUAAUUAUUUUUUAUUUUAUUUAAUUUUAUUAUUAGAAUAUGGAUUUUAAUGUUUUAUGUUUAUUAAUAAUGAUUGAAUUAGUAUAAUUUUUGUGUUUUAUAUUUAUUUUUUUAUAUAUAUUUUAAAGGAAUUCGGCAAGUUUUUUAUGUUUCCGCCUGUUUAUCAAAAACAUCUCUUUUAGUUUUUAUUAAAGGUCGUGCCUGCUCACUGAUUUAUUAAAGAGCCGCGGUAUUUUGACCGUGCAAAGGUAGCCACUGAUUUAUUAAAGAGCCGCGGUAUUUUGACCGUGCAAAGGUAGCAUAAUCAUUAGUAUAUUAAUUGUAUACUGGAAUGAAAGGUUUGACGAGAAAUAUACUGUCUCUAUUAUAUUUUUAUAAUUUUACUUUCUAGUUAAAAGGCUGGGAUUUUUUUUUUGGACGAUAAGACCCUAUAGAGUUUGAUUUUAAAUAUUUUAUUAUUUUGGGUUAAGUUGUUAAUAAUUAAUUUUAUUGUUAGUUUUGUUGGGGUGAUGUGAAUAAUAAUUAAACUGUUCAUUAUUUUUAUCAUUGAUUUAUGUUUUUUAUGAUCUUAUAUUAUUGAUAUAAAGAUAAAAUUACCUUAGGGAUAACAGCGCAAUUAUCUUUGAGAGUUCUUAUUGACAAGAUAGAUUGUGACCUCGAUGUUGGAUUAAGAUUAUUUUUUAGGUGAAGGUGCUUAAUUUAGUUGGUCUGUUCGACCAUUAAAAUCUUACAUGAUCUGAGUUCAGACCGGUGUAAGCCAGGUUGGUUUCUAUCCAAAAAUUUUAUUAUAUUUUUUAGUACGAAAGGACCGUUAAUUUUGAUUAUUUUAUUUAAAUUGAUUAUUAUU
RNAcentral lists this ribosomal RNA (1340 nucleotides) under Alulatettix yunnanensis. Its description in RNAcentral is "16S ribosomal RNA". The stretch from base 1097 to 1257 matches the Rfam family "Archaeal large subunit ribosomal RNA", at positions 2542 to 2701 of the family's 2987-position model. Lineage: Eukaryota; Metazoa; Arthropoda; Insecta; Orthoptera; Tetrigidae. The record is from RNAcentral.